RNAcentral lists this ribosomal RNA (363 nucleotides) under uncultured bacterium. Its description in RNAcentral is "bacterial SSU rRNA". It matches the Rfam family "Bacterial small subunit ribosomal RNA", at positions 338 to 719 of the family's 1533-position model. The record is from RNAcentral.
CCUACGGGAGGCAGCAGUGGGGAAUAUUGGACAAUGGGCGAAAGCCUGAUCCAGCAAUGCCGCGUGAGUGAUGAAGGCCUUAGGGUUGUAAAGCUCUUUUACCCGGGAUGAUAAUGACAGUACCGGGAGAAUAAGCCCCGGCUAACUCCGUGCCAGCAGCCGCGGUAAUACGGAGGGGGCUAGCGUUGUUCGGAAUUACUGGGCGUAAAGCGUGCGUAGGCGGUGAUUCAAGUCAGAGGUGAAAGCCUGGAGCUCAACUCCAGAACUGCCUUUGAAACUAGAUCGCUAGAAGAUGGGAGAGGUGAGUGGAAUUCCGAGUGUAGAGGUGAAAUUCGUAGAUAUUCGGAAGAACACCAGNGNGAG